CAGCAUAAUAUUAUAUCAAUUCGUUCUGUAAACUAUAAAAAUAUAAUAAUAUAUUUAAAUAAUACUUAUCUUCUUAUUUUCAAAGCAAAACUAUGGGUAAUUUAUCAAGUAGGAAAGAUAUUAUGACGAUCGGUAAAACAUCGUCGUGUGGCCUUACCGAUUACUGGAACCAAAAAAGACAAGAUUUUAACAAUAUCUACUUAAAUAAUAAUAAUUCCCCACCAGCUGAUCCGUCGGAUUUUAAUGUGACAACCAUAUUGGACAAAGGAAGUUUCGGAUCUGUCGCAUUGACUACUCACAAUAUAACUGGUACUGUUCACGCUACAAAAGUAAUUGCUAAAAAGAAGAUCGUUAAAGAUAAUUAUGUUGAGAGAAUGCUUAACGAGAAACGGAUUUUGGAAUCAAUCAAUUUUCCGUUUGUCAUUCGUCUCGAGUAUUUCUAUCAAGACAACAGUUUUAUUUACUUUGUCAUGCCGUUCGUGUGCGGUGGUAAUAUUCACACGCACAUGAAACGGCACGGAUCGAUGGACGAGGACAAAGCGCGGUUUUACUUUUCGGAAGUUCUGUUGGCUGUUGAAUACCUGCACAAGUUGGACUUGGUGCAUCGUGAUAUCAAGCCCGAAAAUAUACUAAUCGAUAUCAACGGACAUGCUCAACUCGCAGACUUCGGGUUUUGUAAACACUUAAAGGGUCGUACGUACACGUUUUGUGGCACUGCCGAAUACUUGGCGCCGGAAAUUAUACACAGAAAAGGAUACGGAAAAGCGGUCGACUAUUGGUCGCUCGGCGUUCUCCUAUAUGAGAUGUUGGCCAACCGUUCGCCGUUCGUCGAUUAUCGUGACCCCGGGAAGCUGUUCAGUAACAUCGUGAACGGGGAGUACAGUUGUCCGUUGGGCUUUUCGGGCAACGUGAUGAACCUGUUGCGGAACAUACUCAAGGUGGACGUGACCAGGCGGUACGGGAAUUUGGCAAACGGCAUCCGAGACAUUAAGAAACACAAGUGGUUCGGUGACAUGGACUGGUGCGCGGCAUUCAACAGGAGCGUGACACCACCGUACGUGCCGGAAAUCAGCGACACCUUCGACACUAGCAACUUUGAAAAGCAACAUGGCAAGCUGUUCUAUGGCGCCAGCAAAGACAUGUUCGGUGACAUUUUUAAGGACUUUUGAGUUUUGAGAUCGUAGGACCCAGUUUUAGACGGUGUUUUUUUUUAUGGUGUGAAUACAUUAUUUUAGAUCAAAAAUUGCAAUGACAUCAUGUUGAAAAUAAUUUUCCACUGUCUAGACCAGCGUUUCCCAAACCAUGGGUCGCGAAGUUUUUCUUAUGGGUCGCGACUCGCGGUUACAAUUAUUACGCGGGGGAUCGUUACCCAACAAAGAUUAAAUGUAUGGGUCGUCAUUGCAAAAAGAUUGGGAAAUACUGGCCUAGACCAAAAUGGUAUUACUUUCCCGAGUUAACAAUCCACAU
Molecule: RNA transcript, 1467 nt
Organism: Aphis gossypii (cotton aphid)
Lineage: Eukaryota; Metazoa; Arthropoda; Insecta; Hemiptera; Aphididae
Gene name: cAMP-dependent protein kinase catalytic subunit beta-like
Exons: 5
Source: RefSeq, a predicted model, not a curated record